CAGACAGAGCGAGGAACAGGCCCCAGGGUGGUUAGCCCAAGAGGACUUUGCAGGGAGGAUGGUGCAUCUUUCUUUCUGAAUGUUUUUUUGGUACGAGGGCAAACAGCAUUCUUUCCAGAAUGGUCCAGGUGAAUCUUGCCAAGAAAUAGCAGCCCAGAUAGAGGGACCCCUCAGGGCUUCUGCAUUAUCUGAGGAUUGGCUCCCACAGGAGGGUCAUUCAAGGAAGAAGCAGCUUUAACUAUUUCCUGAAUGCCAGCAUGCCGUGACCAGUAAGACCCAGGCAGAGGCAGAAAUGAUUGGCUAGAGUGUGCUGCGAUGCUUUUGAUGUCGUCCCCGUGAUACCAACGAGUGAAACUCCCG
RNAcentral lists this long non-coding RNA (360 nucleotides) under Homo sapiens (human). Its description in RNAcentral is "HSALNT0023634". The record is from RNAcentral. Lineage: Eukaryota; Metazoa; Chordata; Mammalia; Primates; Hominidae.